RNAcentral lists this unclassified non-coding RNA (315 nucleotides) under plant metagenome. RNAcentral's name for it is "partial contains 5.8S ribosomal RNA, internal transcribed spacer 2, and large subunit ribosomal RNA". The stretch from base 1 to 105 matches the Rfam family "5.8S ribosomal RNA", at positions 50 to 154 of the family's 154-position model. The record is from RNAcentral.
GAAAUGCGAUAACUAGUGUGAAUUGCAGAAUUCCGUGAAUCAUCGAGUCUUUGAACGCACAUUGCGCCCCCUGGUAUUCCGGGGGGCAUGCCUGUCCGAGCGUCAUUGCUGCCCAUCAAGCACGGCUUGUGUGUUGGGUCGUCGUCCCCUCUUCGGGGGGGACGGGCCCCAAAGGCAGCGGCGGCACCGCGUCCGAUCCUCGAGCGUAUGGGGCUUUGUCACCCGCUCUGUAGGCCCGGCCGGCGCUUGCCGAACGCAAAUCAAUCUUUUCCAGGUUGACCUCGGAUCAGGUAGGGAUACCCGCUGAACUUAAGC